UCUAGGAGUUCCCUUAUGGUGUGCAGUGGGUUAAGGAUCCAGUAUUGUCACUGCAGAGGCUUGGGUCGCUGCUGUGGCAUGAGUUUGAUCCUUAGCCCAGGAUCUUCCAUAUGCCAUGGGCAUGGCCAAAACAAAACAAACAAAAAAGCACAUCUAAAAGUUGAGAAUUAUGCCUUAUUGGGGCAUUACUGAGGACAGUAGGCCUGGGAUAUAUCCAGGGGUGACAGGUGGGAGGCAGGUACAUUGGCUGAUGGCUUUAUUGCUGCAUACUUUGUUUAUUGAAAUGCCUGGCAAUAUUCUUUCUCAAUAGAUGUAUUGAUCACCAAUCCUGCGAGGACCUAGGUGUGAAGAUACCAGCCAGCAGCCCAAGUCCUCUGGAGUGACAGCUCCAGAGAACAAAUCCAAUAGAUGGUAUUAGACAGUCAGCAGGGCCUCACAGAUGCUUGUGCAAUUUUUUUUGUACAAGGAUACCCUACUGAGGGGACAUCAAUUUGGGUUGAAAUUUAGCCUCCAUUCCACUCACUACGGGCCCUUUGUAGUUGUUUUGCCUGGAGAUGGUACAUUGUGGUAAUUCCUCCUUGUACAAAGAUGCUGUCCAAAAGUGUAGACCUGGCAAUAAGACUCCACUCAGCGUUUGGUUCUACUCCCAUGGGCCUCUUGAAAAUAUAGAACCCUUUCAUAGAGAACAUAUGCUAUGGUAAGCGCUGAGAAGGCAUAACCCUAUUCCUCUGGAACCAUGCUUUUGGUUUCUGUGAUAUUGUGAUUUAUAAGAGAAAUAUAUAUUUGCUCAUUCAGAUGACCAAAAUAUACUUCUCAUAUAUAUUUGCCCAUUAUCCUUGGUGCCUGGAUCAUAGCUCCCAAAACUCUCGGAGUUUUAAGUAUUAGAGAGAUUAAGGUCCUUUUGUUAUGUUAAUGAGGUGGCUUUCAAACAGAGCCUAAAAGUGGGAGCCAAGGAGCCAACCAAGUGAUUGAGGGUAGAAACUUUCAUUUCCACCCCCGCCUUCAACCUCCAGGGAAGGGAGAAGAGCUUGAAGUUGAAUUAAUGGACAAUAGCCAAUGAUUUAAUUGAAUAUUACUAUGUAAUGAAGCCUCCAUAUAAACCCAAGGACUGGGUUUGGAGAUCUUCCAGUUUGGUGAAGCUGUGGAGAUUUGGGGAGAAUGGUGACCUCUGAGAGGGCCUGGAAGCUUCCUUGCCCUUUCCCGCCUAUCUUGCUCUGUGCAUCUCUUCUGUCUGGCUGUUCUUGAGUUAUAUCCUUUUAUAAUGAACUGGUAGUCUAGUGAGUAAAAUGUUUCUCAGAAUUUUGUGAGGUGCUCUAGCAAAUUAAUCAAACCUGAGAAGGUGGUCGUGAGAACCUCUGAUUUGUAAUUAGUUGGCCAGAAGUACAGGUAAUAAUUUGAACUUGCAACUACCCUUUGAAGUUUGGGGACGGAGCAGUGGGGGAACAAUCUUGUGGGGCUGAUCCCUUUACCUGUGGGGAAUCUGAUCCUCUCUCUGAGUAGGUAGUGUCAGAAUUGACUUAAAUUCUAGGGUACCCAGCUGGUGUUCCCCUCUCCCUAUUGGAAAUUGAGUUUCAGAAUACCAAAAGAGUUCCAUAAUAUUUCUAGAAAUCAUACAAGGAUCAUGUUAGUGAUAUAAUGGAAAGAACUGAGACUUUGUAGUUAGAAAGCCCCAGAUUUCAAUCCUGAUUUCAACACUUAACUGCUUUGUGAACUUGGUCAAGUUAAUGAAAAUUUGGGAUAUACAAUAUCUCUAUAACAUUUUAAAUGGUCAUAUAUACUGUGAAUUUUAUUAAACAUUGGUGAAAUUUGAUACAUAAGUAGAAAGAAACAAUUUUUGAAAGAAAGAAGUAACUAGAUUGCUAUUUUAAGGUGAAUUUGUCAUCUUUCCUGCAAUAUUUACUGUAGGUAAAAAUCACCUCUACUUCAUGUUGACUGAUAGAAUAUAUGCAUGAUUCUUACAAUUCUGUGAAUUCUGGAAUUUAGAGAGACAUCUCUUAUAUAAUGACUGCCUCUAGGAUUUAGAGAAAAUGACUCCCCAUGCUGUAAUCUGGCCCACUGGGGUUUGAGCUGCAGAGGGGUGAUGCCCCACAUCACUGUAUCUUGAAUAGGUCGAGAUUCAAGAGCAGCAACUAAAUUACAUAAAGUCAUUGCACUGUCUGCCGUGCCAGCUUUACAAUUAUGUUUCAAAAUUGAUAGAUGGCUAUGAAAAUCCUAUUCUGUUAACAAAGUUUUUUUUUUUUUUUCUUUAAUUUCCGAAGUAGAAAUAGUUCUGUGGGGAAGGGCCCAUUGCAUGUAGAAUACACUUAUCCACAACAAUAUUCCAAGGUUCUUAUUUACACAUGAAUGGGAAAAACCAAAUGAAGGUUCUAGGUAGCUUUCAUUGUUAGAAUAUGUAAUAUUCUAAGUAUUCUAGUAUAUAUAUUCUGUAGUUGUUGGGCAUAAGAUGUUCUGCAGGAAUCCUGAUGUGUUACCUAAGAAAUAUAUAACUACCAAACCAAGCUCCAGUAAUAUCCUUAUAAUUCUUACUAGCUCUGGGUAUAUGGAAACUAGCUCUCCCCAAAAUGAUUUCCUUUCCAGUAGAUACUCUUAGCAAACAACAUUGAAUCUUAGAGAAUGUUCUCCAUGUUAUUUGGGCUAAUCAUUUUUAUAAUUUGAUAUGUGAUUCAUAUAUUUAAUUCUGUUCCAUAUCUGUUCUGUUAUUUUCAGGUGGGACUGGGUCAAAACCCAUAUUAACUUGUGAUUUCCCUGGCUCACAAAUUUCCACUACUCUGGAGCAUUUUACUUCCAUAAUAGACCAUAGAAUUAAGCUUUAUCCAAAAAUUGGUUUUCAUAGCAUCUACAUUCCUUGAAAUCACAUCUGUUGUUGAAUUUUACUUUGCUAAAGAAUAUUGUCUUUCACAUGACUCCUUUUAAUGUGUCUUUGGUUUUUUAUUGUUGACUUUAUUGAUGACAUUUUGGGGAGAAGCGUUAAAUUAGAUUUGCAACUUUUUUGGCUGCUAUAACGUCUAUAAAACUUUAACUACAAAGUAAUAUUGGCAAAAUAAUAAUUUUAUACUGCAUAAAACACUUAAUCAAAUUUAAUUUGACCUUUCCCCUUCCUUUUCUUGAUUGAAUAGCUUCCUUCUGUUGGGAUCCUUAGAUUUGACAAGCUAGUUCAGCAAGGAAUAUGUUUGUUUGGUUGAUCAAGUUUCUAGAAUUUCAUUUUAAUGUAUGCUUUUAUUAAAAUAAUUUAUAUAUAAGGGUGGGGUGUGAUUUCAGCAUUUGGUAGGGAUUAUUUGGACAUUUUUCCCCCUUCUUUCAUGUGGAUGUCUUUCUAUUCAAAACAUCCCUUUGCCAGAUAAUGGUGUAAAUAUUCCAGGCCUCCUCACUCACUCCAAAAUAAAAAGUUUAAAUGAUCUUUUCUUUGUUCUUAUCACGAAAUCAUCCAUUCCUCAGCCGAAAAAUACUAUUCAUGGUUUAAAUUUUGGCUCAACAUUAGGUGCAAAGGAAACACUUUCUCUUCUGUAUUAUUUCAGUUUAGAUGUUAGGUCCCCUAACUGAUAGAUUUGGAUCGUAUGAACCUGUAUUGUGAAUGAACAUUGGGCUAGCUCUCCUCAUCCCUAGAUGGCCUUCUUGGUAUUCUAUCUACUUGGGGGCAGGUUUCUGGCCACCUGUCACUAAACUCCCCCAUGGACAGGUCUCCUGACAUCCUAAUGUCAUUUGCGUAACACGUUUAACCUUCCUGGUGUUCUAUGAGUUGACUAUACUACAAUUUAACAUUUCCAAAUUUAGCUGAGUUCUUAGCAUUUCUUUUAGAAGACAGUCUUUUUAUCACUCCACAGUAAGCAUCUUUUUCCAUUCCUCUCAAUAGCAGUCUCCAGCUAUGUCUUCCUCACAGUAGAUGAUUAGGCCUUCUAAUUUCACCAAGAAAAUUAAGGUUAUCAAGCAUGAAUGCCCUCAACUUUCUUCAUCUCUAUCUUCAAAAUAUACUUUAAAAUAUGCUUAAAAAUAUGCUCAAAAGCACUUUUUCUCCUUCCCUGUUUUUGAGUAACAAACAUAUUUUGCCAAUAUUUUCUAAUCUAUCCUUUUGCUUUCUACUUUCUUGAUACAAUCCCACAAUUCAGACUGUCAUCAUCUGUCAUCUUCUAUCAUUGUCUUCAGUCUUGUUCCCCAACCUCCCAAUGCAUUCUUCUUUUCAGUAUAGCCAGAGCGAUUUACCACUCAAGUCAUGUCAUUCCUCUGUUCCCAAUUCUUUGUCCUUUGAGCUCAGAAAUCCUGUGAUUAAAAUCCAUGCUUGAUAGCACAUACUCUAAGACAAACCUCUAUUCAGCUCUCUGAUCCCUUUUUUGGCAUCCCAUUUAGGAAAGUGAACAGUCUUUGGACUAAUUUGGAAUAGAGUGACUUCUCUUUACAUCAGUGGUGAUGGGGGAAGAACUAGCUACAUCAAGAUUUUACUGUGUAUAGGUGUUUUUGAAGCUAUGACUUGACUUAUGAUAUAUAAAUUCCUAUUGUAAUGAGCUAUGUUAUGACAUUGUCAUUUACUUGAAGUGGAUUUGAUGUUGGGAAAAGCUUGUCUAGAAUUGUCUUUAUACCCAUUUUCCUCCAAGAGGUUCAAGAGGUCAUUUUUUUUCCUCUUUCUUCACUAUAAUCUCCUAAUUUUCCUCACUUGAAUACAGUUUUAUAAAAUAUAAUAACGAAGUUCCCAUUGUGGCUCAGUGGUUAACGAGCCCAACUUGCAACCAUGAGGAUGUGGGUUCAAUCCCUGACCUCACUCAGUGGGUUGCCAUGAGCUGUGGUGUGGGUCGCAGACACAGCUUGGAUAUGGUGUUGCUGUGGCUGUGGCGUAGGCCAGAGGCUACAGUUCGAUUCGACUCCUAGCCUGGGAACCUACAUAUGCC
Molecule: long non-coding RNA, 4877 nt
Filed under: Sus scrofa (pig)
Lineage: Eukaryota; Metazoa; Chordata; Mammalia; Artiodactyla; Suidae
Description: lncRNA (ENSSSCG00055007011.1)
Source: RNAcentral